This 69-nucleotide transfer RNA is filed under the name Stylephorus chordatus (tube-eye). RNAcentral describes it as "tRNA-Ser (AGY)". Lineage: Eukaryota; Metazoa; Chordata; Actinopteri; Stylephoriformes; Stylephoridae. The record is from RNAcentral.
GAGAGAGGCCCGAUGGCAAUGAAGACUGCUAAUUUAUCACCCCCACGGUUAAACCCCGAGGCUCCCUCG